AAAUGAGGACGUCAUUGGGCUGUGGUUCCUUAUCCGGUUUUUUUGGCCUUUUAGCAAAACCUUUUUAAGUGGUUUAGUAUGGUCUUGGGUGACGUGGCUGCUUUGUUGGAUUCCACGUGUGAUGAGAUAGUGUGAACGCCCCAAGCGGGAAGAAUAUGCCUUUUGAAUUGAUUAUUUCUUAAGUUUUUGUUUUGCCCCUUGGGAGAUGUGACGAGAUGAGAUUUAUCAAGUUCCCAAUGGCCCACCUUGGAACCCUCUGGCUCGCUCAGAAGUUCAUCUGAUCAAGCUGUUGAUUUUGGACAAUAGAAGAAAUUUUUAACACACAUAUUUCUUCAUCCACCACCUAUGGCUAUGAGUGCUUGUAUUUCUUUUAAGAGAUGGCAUGUGAAUUAUGGAAUAUAUGGUCGGUUAAGAAAAACAUAUACAUGGUACUGAAUUGCCGAAUUCUAUUGGUUAUAAAGA
Arabidopsis thaliana (thale cress) is the source of this 462-nucleotide long non-coding RNA. RefSeq annotates it as other RNA. NCBI's taxonomy places the organism in Eukaryota, Viridiplantae, Streptophyta, Magnoliopsida, Brassicales, Brassicaceae. The transcript has a single exon. The record is from RefSeq.